GAUUUUUGAUUCUCUACUCCUCCUUUUUGACAGCAUCAAUUAAGAUCUUAAGGAAUCUUGAAGAGAGAGAAAAAAAAAGAUAACAUAAAAGAUAUAUUUUCUCUACUCUUCCUUUUUGAUACCAUAUUUUAUUUCUUUACUCCCCCUCUUUCAUUAUUUAUUUCUCUACUCCUUUUUUUUCAUUGUUUAUUUCUCUACUCUCUCUCACUAUAGCAAUUAUAAAAAAUAUAUC
This 232-nucleotide long non-coding RNA is filed under the name Elaeis guineensis (African oil palm). RNAcentral's name for it is "long non-coding RNA (EGUI_LNC052320)". The record is from RNAcentral. Lineage: Eukaryota; Viridiplantae; Streptophyta; Magnoliopsida; Arecales; Arecaceae.